This 291-nucleotide unclassified non-coding RNA is filed under the name Hevea brasiliensis (rubber tree). Lineage: Eukaryota; Viridiplantae; Streptophyta; Magnoliopsida; Malpighiales; Euphorbiaceae. The record is from RNAcentral.
GGGCAUCUGAAAAUAGACAAGAAUAUCUUGCCGCAAUGGAGGAAGCUGCAACUCAAGAAGGUCGUGCUAAGCAGCUUGAAGAUGAAAUCAAGGAGCUUAGGAGUCGAAUCAAACGCGAGCUGCAAGAAGAAAUGACACGAAGGGAACUUAUCGAGAAGGAGCUUGAAAAAGAAAGGGAUGCUAGAUUAGAGUUGGAAAGAGGGGCACCGCCUCAAACUUCUGCAGCUGGCACUAUGCCUUAUGUUGAAAAUGGAAAACCCCCGUUGCGGAGUCUUUCAAGUUCUGUGAGUC